AGUGAGGUGCAUUGCACUGAUGUGUGCCAGUGGUGGAAUAUGAGGAAGACAGUAAUAGGAUGGUUUUAUUAGGAAAAGUGCAGGAAUGGUUUGUUACAAAGAAACACUCGACAUCAGCAGAAAUAACAAUGCUGAAACUGGAUAAGCUUUUCCAUUUAGGUUAACAGUACAAGGUAAGCUUCAUUGCUUUCAAGCUGAACAGAUUAUUUGGAGAGGUAGAUUAGCCUCACUUCUGUGUGCCUGUUUACUAGAAUAUGGGUCAUCAGCUUAGUGCCUGGAAAAAAUUUUUGGGAAAAUACAGAUUUCCAUUCUCUGGUAUCCCGUCAAACAAAAGGGACAGGGUCUCAUUACUUUAACUAGUUAUUACUCGUGAGACUCUUAAUGCCUGCAGAAAGAGGACAACACUGUUGGCACUGGAUCUUCCACUCAAUCUCACCAUAAUGUUCUGUGAGGUACUAGUAAUCUGUUAAGGUAAAUAUGUUGCCUGGAUUGUGCACUCCACAGAAACUAGUCUUUGUCAUUUGUAGAACAUGUUCUUUCAAGUCUAUUUGCUGGAAUGAGACUUGUACUUGGAGACCGGUAUUGGGUAGCAUCUAUGUGAUUUGCAGUACCUUGAGGUUGUUACUUUCAUUAAUUGCUCUGGAUGUUAAUGGUCAUUUAAUUGUAUGUUGUGUAAUCCAGCAACCACUAUUUUGUAAAGGUUAAUGAAGCCUUUAGGCAAUUAUGAUCUUUACAAAAUUCCCUGACCUUUGUAUAAUAGCUUGUUCCUCUAAAAAUUGCUAUUGACAGUAAGUGUUUCACUGAGGGUGGGAAAAAAAAAAAACCACAAACCUGCCAGAGAUGGAGGCGGACAGCAGAAGAGAGAGUAAAGAAAGAAGUAAAAUGCAUCAUUAAGCUUUUCACAAUAUAUAAGCAUAAGGAGCACUCACAGAAAAUGCUCCUAAAAAUUGAUCAGAAAUACCUCCACGUAAUUGCCUAAAUGUAGCGACUACAGCUAAUGGUAUCUCUUACCACACAGUCCCACAGAGGAUGGAUUCUGAGCUAUCACUUCAGAAAAAGCUCCCACCGGCAGCUGCCACGCUGGGAAGGGCUCGACCAAGGCACGCCAGCCCUACCAUGCUCUCAUUGCAUGGCUGAUUUACGCACGCACCCAGAACUUACCUUGGCUCCUGCAGAAAAACAGUAGCAGUAAACCAGAUGUAAUCCUCUUUAUGGUUUCUGUAUUCAGAGGAGCCCUAGUUGGAAAGAUGGCAUUGUGUUUAUACCUUUUUUCAUGUUCAGAAGUUGUGCUGAUACUUCUUACUCUUACAAUGCAAAUCAAAUUUAGAAAUCGGUAAUUUGUUUGUUUGUUUGUUCAUUGCUAAAACUCCCUGGUAAGCUACUAUUUUUGCUAAUCACCCCAAGAAUUAAAAACACAGUUCAAAAUUCUGUUUAUCAAGAAUGUAAAUUGGGAUAUGCAUUUGCUUUUUGCAUUUCUCAGUGCAUAGGACCAGAUCAUUCAUCCAGAAUAAGGGUGGAUAAAUACAGUGCUUACUACAAUCCCUACUGGACUGCAUUGGUAGCAUCUGACAAGUAUAUAAGGACCGAGCGUGCAAAAUCCAGGAGUGCAGUUGGCAUAAGUGGAGACUAAUACUGCAUUUUUUUAACAGUUUGUGGACCUCAGCAUGGAUCAGGGGAAGCAGCUCUGUCAGUCUGCCAAAAAAACAAUUUCCUGUAAAAGCACUUGAAGACCAUUUCAUUCCAAACAGCCUUUGGAACCGUUGAAGUUGUUGGAGAAGGAGGAAUGCAGCUGGGCUGGACAUAGGGCAAAAGGAAGACAUACUAUGACAGGAGUACCACCUGAUUUUUUUUCUUUUUUUUUUUAAUUUACAGCUGCAAACAAGAAAAAGGAGUGUAAAACAGCCCACCCAGAAAUUCCUAGUACAAGGUUUUCAUUAGAAUAUACUGAUUUGUCAAAACUGAAGUGUUUCAUGAGCAUGUUAGUUUUCACAGAACUCUAGUCAAACACAGGCUGUUGAGAAACACCUUCUUCCCUCCAUUUUCCCUGCCAUGCUACUCAGGACACUCAGUGAUUCAAAAUCGGUGUCUCUGGGCCAGAAAGCAGCCAAAUACACAAAACUCUCCCUGAAAGGGGAAGCCUGUGUCCAUCACGCCGUGACGGCUGGCAGGGCUGCACAGCUCUGGCUGCCCUGGGGAGCUGGAGGCCCGACCGCUUCCUACCUUGGGAGCCAGACACCCAGGUUUUCAUGUCCUUGCCUCUGCUUGCAAGACAGAGAAACUCUCGGCUGGAAACCUGACCUCUCUGGACAAUCCUCAGCCAGUCAGACAGUGUGAAAAGGAUUUCGGUUCCUAAAACCCUGGGCUCCCAGCAAGUUGCAGUGGUAUUUCUGGGGAGAUGAGUGUGAGAGCUGCAAGAAACAAGAUAUUCACACCCUGUAUGCUUUAUAUCUAGACCAAGCAUUUUUAAAUAAUGUUACUGGGUUUUAUGAUUAAAAAAGACCACUUGCAAAUUUUUCACAUGCUACAACAAAACCUGUUUCAUACACAUGGUGAAAUACAAUCUCUGAAGCUGAAAAUGUAUAGUUUAAUUUGACUGUGGAGCUGCUUUGGUAAGAUUUUUUUUCUUUAGGAAAGGAAGAACCUUAGGUGGAAGAGACCCUUGCUGACAGCUUAUCAUCUCGUUAACCAAACCUUUCUGAGCCAGUUUAUAAAUAUGUAUGGUUGAAAACCUUAAAGCCUUCCUCCUUUAAGGGUAUUAUUUUUGCCUAGUGCACUAAUCCUCUGCCUCUGGAGAGCUAAUCCAAAUCUUGGCCUGGUCACACACAACCCUGUUUUUUCCCCUGAGGAGCACAAGUAACAUGAGUGGCAGCUUCUCUUUAAUGGGAGAGCCUAAACUACAGAAGAAACAGGUUUCAGAGCUCUGCAGUAUCUUUAGAGCAGCCAAGAUAGAUAAGCCAACAAACAUCUCCAACUGCGCCAUCUUCUUUUCCUGACUGACUUACUGAAAAGUGUCCCUACCCAUGCACUUUUAAAAGCACCAUCUUGAAAGAUUUCUUGCUAUAUUUUGUGGUUCUCAUUCAUUUACCCACAAUAAUGAAGGAUGAGCUGCAGCAAGUAGGAUGCAGUAACUAACUGCUUCACUUGCAAUCUCACCAUUGCCUAGAAAAUGCCAGUGCUUGCUGAGCUCACCUUGCUUCAGUGACCAGUGCCUCUGAAGGAAGUGAGACCUCAGCUGAAGACUCUUUACCAUUUAGUCUAGUAGUUAUUUGGUAUUCGGAAGAAAAAUAUCAGAAGUCUGUUUAAUAUUCAAUACAUUUGCCACUUACUUACUUACACCUUUUCCUUAAAACUCAUUUCUACUAUGAGAACCAAAACCCUCUUUCAGAAGGGCUAGAAAAUUGUAACUUUUAUACCUUGCUACUCCCCAGAAUUUUCUUGUAGUUGCCUUAUGUCUUACACCAAUUUGUUUUAAUCAUUAAAUAUAACUGAUAUUUUCUUUGGAGCAGGGGAUAUUUUCUUCUCUCGGUGAGACAAGUUUGUGAAGACACUUAAUAUCUUUUAUUAAAGAAACUGAUAAAGUUGGGAGAGGGGGGGAAGGGCAAAGAGCUUUCAGGCAUACAAGCUGGCAGCAGCAGCAAUGUUUUUAUUGCAUGUGCUUUUACAGAGAAAGCCUAAACAUUAAGUAGAACCUCUGGAAAGUAAAGAAGUACUAUAAAAAUGGAUAGGAGUAUAAACUGUGCUUAAUUCAAAUAACAUUUCUCAUAUCUAGACUGCCGCUCAAGAAUCUCCUUAGACUAUGUUGGACUAUGGAUCCUUUUAAAGCACAGAAACGUACUCAGCACUGAUUACCACUUCAGAAUAACUGGAAAUUUACUGCAAGACAGUCUCUUAUAAUGGUAUUUAGUACAAAAAAAUCAUUUUUCAUGUACUUACUGACUGAGCAGAAAUGUUCAGACACUUAACAAUU
Molecule: long non-coding RNA, 3967 nt
Organism: Aquila chrysaetos chrysaetos
Lineage: Eukaryota; Metazoa; Chordata; Aves; Accipitriformes; Accipitridae
Exons: 3
Source: RefSeq, a predicted model, not a curated record